Molecule: long non-coding RNA, 1106 nt
Filed under: Equus caballus (horse)
Lineage: Eukaryota; Metazoa; Chordata; Mammalia; Perissodactyla; Equidae
Description: lncRNA (ENSECAG00000059891.1)
Source: RNAcentral
CAAAGCUUCUGAACAGCAUUUGUCACUCCCUCCUGAGAGAUCCUGUAACUCUUGGUAUGUUCAUUCAUUCCAGAAACAUUUUUUUGAGUGCCUACUCUGUGCCAGGCACUGGGCUAGGCUAGAGAAUGUGGACUCUCUAUAACCGUGGCUUUUACGGGACAAUGUCUCCCAAGGCCCUGCUCCGGGCGGGAGACGCUCACCAGCUUCCUGUCCUGGCCGGUGGGGCAGAGGUUCCCCCAGCUCCUCUCCAGGAACAGCCCCGUUCCCACAGAGCCCGGAACUCACAUUUGCAGGGCAGCGCUGCCUGUGCCAAACAAAGUUCCCGCAAAGUUCUGUUCUCUCCAGAACGAGGACACUUGCUGGUGUGCCCAGGAGACAGAGUCCCAGGAUAAACGUGUCGUGUCUUUCUAGAAUGUUAAUUUCACUCAAGGAUUUGGAAGGGAAAGUUAAUUAGUGUAAGCUGAAAAGAAGACCUCAGAGAAUGUCGCGUUUGGAGCUUCACCGCGAGAUUCCUCAGACCUGGCCUCCCCUCUUCUGUCUUCGGAAGCUCUUGCUGGGAAGUCUGGGAGUGGAAGCCUGUUAGCUGAGGCCCAAGCAAGCUGACUGCUCCAGGGCCUGUUCCACACAAGCUUUGCCAUCGGUCUUUCUUUGUAAAUUUGAAAUGGAAACCGAGAGGAGCUGGUGUCUGGAAAUCAUAAAGGUGGGAAUCUGUCAGGAGCACAUUUCUUGCCCCGGGGACCAGAGAAGCAGAGGAACCUAACCUGCAGAGGGAGAUGGUGGAGCCUGAAUCCGGCACUGGAGAAGGUUGGGGGGCAAGAAAAGGCGAGUCCCCAAGCCUUCACGUCCACGGUUCUCUGUGUGCUGGGACUUCAGCUGUGUUCCUGAUUCCGUGUGUCUCGAGAACAUCCUAUGUCCUUAGAAUAAAUUCUCCUUAAGCUGUCUUGACUUGGGCUUCUGUCCCCUGCAGUCCAAGGGGUCCUAGAAUGCCUGAAAUGGGCCUGAUCCUGGAACGGUUUGUUUCCAAAGCCUUCUCUUGGUUUAUCACAAAAAGGGCCAGAACGUUGUUUCGGCUCAGCAUUGUGUCUCAAAGGGCAAAUGGAGUGUGC